Long non-coding RNA from Daphnia pulex (common water flea), 419 nucleotides. RefSeq lists it as uncharacterized. Lineage: Eukaryota; Metazoa; Arthropoda; Branchiopoda; Diplostraca; Daphniidae. The transcript has 3 exons. The record is from RefSeq and is a predicted model, not a curated record.
UGUAGAGGUUGGGUGAGAACUGGACGUAUUGAAUCAUUAUCAAGCAGACCCAUCCCCCGCAACGUCUAUCUGUAGAAGGAAAGGACAGUUUGCAUUUCCUUUCUCGAAGGUCACGGAGAUCAUUUCGUAAAACGUGUCAUGCGACGGCGGAGAGGUUGGGUGAGGACGACACGUUUUAUCUUCCUUUAUUUAAGGUCUUUAGUUAAUUAUAGUAUUCUGUUAGGUAAACAUUCGAACUUUCUUGGAAAUGUUUCGUUAAUUAAAAUAAUCGAACAGUAUCAUUUCCUAUGAUUUUGGUUGAAGGUCAUACGUAAAACUGUCCAGCGAUGGUGUAGACUGUAGAGGUUGGGUGAGAAUAACACGUGAUGCAUCAUUAUCAAGCAGACCCAUCCCGCAACGUCAACCUAAAGAAAGAAUGG